Molecule: ribosomal RNA, 189 nt
Filed under: uncultured bacterium
Lineage: Bacteria
Description: partial 16S ribosomal RNA
Rfam family: Bacterial small subunit ribosomal RNA
Source: RNAcentral
UUCGCCUUCAUGAAGCCGGAAUUGCUAGUAAUGGCAGGUCAGCAUACUGCCGUGAAUACGUUCCCGGGCCUUGUACACACCGCCCGUCACACCAUGAGAGUUGGGAAUACCCGAAGCCUGUGAGCUAACUUUACGAGGCAGCAGUCGAAGGUAGAAUCAAUGAUUGGGGUGAAGUCGUAACAAGGUAAC